Long non-coding RNA from Ostrea edulis (European flat oyster), 514 nucleotides. RefSeq lists it as uncharacterized. Lineage: Eukaryota; Metazoa; Mollusca; Bivalvia; Ostreida; Ostreidae. The record is from RefSeq and is a predicted model, not a curated record. The transcript has 4 exons.
AUUAUUUGCACACAGUACUGAAUAGUUGUAUAUCGUGUGCAAACGAACUAAACAUAUUUUAUUCAUCUUGUUUUGAGCACAAACACCACUUUCCUCAAGGAAUUAUUUGCACUUCGUAAUCAAAGAAUUCCACUUUAAGAAAAAUGUCUGACCCAUGCAACUGCCAAAAAACGGGAAAUUGUCAGUGUUCAGGCAUCUGUCCCUCCACUGGGUGUAAUUGUGCUUCUGGGUGUAAAUGUGUAGCGGGCUGUAAAUGUCCCGGAUGUAAGAUUGUAAAUACAGUGCAGGUUUCUGCGCAUACGGAAUAGAGUGUAUCCGACCUGACACGUGUAAAUGUGCUACGGGGUGUAGCUGCAAAUAGUGAAUAAAUGUUUGCAUGAAAAGACAUCAUUCAUUUGUUAAUAGUGUACAUAACAAUAAAUACAUAAUGUUGAUCAUUAUCCAGAUUUUCAUAUGUUUUUUUUUAUACAUUAUGUGUUUUUGUUCAUGAAAUAAAUAAUUGAAAUUAAAAGUU